Molecule: ribosomal RNA, 524 nt
Filed under: uncultured bacterium
Lineage: Bacteria
Description: partial 16S ribosomal RNA
Rfam family: Bacterial small subunit ribosomal RNA
Source: RNAcentral
GACGAACGCUGGCGGCGUGCCUAAUACAUGCAAGUCGAGCGCAGGAAAUCGACGGAACCCUUCGGGGGGAAGUCGACGGAAUGAGCGGCGGACGGGUGAGUAACACGUAAAGAACCUGCCCUCAGGUCUGGGAUAACCACGAGAAAUCGGGGCUAAUACCGGAUGGGUCAUCGGACCGCAUGGUCCGAGGAUGAAAGGCGCUUCGGCGUCGCCUGGGGAUGGCUUUGCGGUGCAUUGGCUAGGUGGUGGGGUAAUGGCCCACCAAGGCGACGGUGCAGAGCCGGCCUGAGAGGGUGAGCGGCCACACUGGGACUGAGACACGGCCCAGACUCCUACGGGAGGCAGCAGUAGGGAAUCUUCCACAAUGGACGAAAGUCUGAUGGAGCAACGCCGCGUGAACGAUGAAGGCCUUCGGGUCGUAAAGUUCUGUUGUAAGGGAAGAACAAGUGCCGCAGGCAAUGGCGGCACCUUGACGGUACCUUGCGAGAAAGCCACGGCUAACUACGUGCCAGCCGCCGCAGUAA